UGCUUGUUGGGGUUGUAGGACACUCUAUACGGAGUUACAAAGGACGACAUUAGACGAAUCAUCUGGAAAGAUGAAUCAAAGAAGGUAAUAAUCCUGUAGUCGAAAAUGUUGUCUCUCUUGAGUGGAUCCUGAGUACGACGGAGCACGUGAAAUUCCGUCGGAAUCUGGGAGGACCAUCUCCUAAGGCUAAAUACUCUCUAGUGACCGAUAGUGAACCAGUACCGUGAGGGAAAGGUGAAAAGCACCCCGGAAGGGGAGUGAAAUAGAACCUGAAACCGUGUGCUUACAAGUAGUCAGAGCCCGUUAAUGGGUGAUGGCGUGCCUUUUGUAGAAUGAACCGGCGAGUUACGAUUUGAUGCAAGGUUAAGCAGUAAAUGUGGAGCCGUAGCGAAAGCGAGUCUGAAUAGGGCGUUUAGUAUUUGGUCGUAGACCCGAAACCAGGUGAUCUACCCUUGGUCAGGUUGAAGUUCAGGUAACACUGAAUGGAGGACCGAACCGACUUACGUUGAAAAGUGAGCGGAUGAACUGAGGGUAGCGGAGAAAUUCCAAUCGAACCUGGAGAUAGCUGGUUCUCUCCGAAAUAGCUUUAGGGCUAGCCUCAAGUGAUGAUUAUUGGAGGUAGAGCACUGUUUGGACGAGGGGCCCCUCUCGGGUUACCGAAUUCAGACAAACUCCGAAUGCCAAUUAAUUUAACUUGGGAGUCAGAACAUGGGUGAUAAGGUCCGUGUUCGAAAGGGAAACAGCCCAGACCACCAGCUAAGGUCCCAAAAUAUAUGUUAAGUGGAAAAGGAUGUGGCGUUGCCCAGACAACUAGGAUGUUGGCUUAGAAGCAGCCAUCAUUUAAAGAGUGCGUAAUAGCUCACUAGUCGAGUGACACUGCGCCGAAAAUGUACCGGGGCUAAACAUAUUACCGAAGCUGUGGAUUGUCCUUUGGACAAUGGUAGGAGAGCGUUCUAAGGGCGUUGAAGCAUGAUCGUAAGGACAUGUGGAGCGCUUAGAAGUGAGAAUGCCGGUGUGAGUAGCGAAAGACGGGUGAGAAUCCCGUCCACCGAUUGACUAAGGUUUCCAGAGGAAGGCUCGUCCGCUCUGGGUUAGUCGGGUCCUAAGCUGAGGCCGACAGGCGUAGGCGAUGGAUAACAGGUUGAUAUUCCUGUACCACCUAUAAUCGUUUUAAUCGAUGGGGGGACGCAGUAGGAUAGGCGAAGCGUGCGAUUGGAUUGCACGUCUAAGCAGUAAGGCUGAGUAUUAGGCAAAUCCGGUACUCGUUAAGGCUGAGCUGUGAUGGGGAGAAGACAUUGUGUCUUCGAGUCGUUGAUUUCACACUGCCGAGAAAAGCCUCUAGAUAGAAAAUAGGUGCCCGUACCGCAAACCGACACAGGUAGUCAAGAUGAGAAUUCUAAGGUGAGCGAGCGAACUCUCGUUAAGGAACUCGGCAAAAUGACCCCGUAACUUCGGGAGAAGGGGUGCUCUUUAGGGUUAACGCCCAGAAGAGCCGCAGUGAAUAGGCCCAAGCGACUGUUUAUCAAAAACACAGGUCUCUGCUAAACCGUAAGGUGAUGUAUAGGGGCUGACGCCUGCCCGGUGCUGGAAGGUUAAGAGGAGUGGUUAGCUUCUGCGAAGCUACGAAUCGAAGCCCCAGUAAACGGCGGCCGUAACUAUAACGGUCCUAAGGUAGCGAAAUUCCUUGUCGGGUAAGUUCCGACCCGCACGAAAGGCGUAACGAUUUGGGCACUGUCUCAACGAGAGACUCGGUGAAAUCAUAGUACCUGUGAAGAUGCAGGUUACCCGCGACAGGACGGAAAGACCCCGUGGAGCUUUACUGUAGCCUGAUAUUGAAAUUCGGCACAGCUUGUACAGGAUAGGUAGGAGCCUUUGAAACGUGAGCGCUAGCUUACGUGGAGGCGCUGGUGGGAUACUACCCUAGCUGUGUUGGCUUUCUAACCCGCACCACUUAUCGUGGUGGGAGACAGUGUCAGGCGGGCAGUUUGACUGGGGCGGUCGCCUCCUAAAAGGUAACGGAGGCGCUCAAAGGUUCCCUCAGAAUGGUUGGAAAUCAUUCAUAGAGUGUAAAGGCAUAAGGGAGCUUGACUGCGAGACCUACAAGUCGAGCAGGGUCGAAAGACGGACUUAGUGAUCCGGUGGUUCCGCAUGGAAGGGCCAUCGCUCAACGGAUAAAAGCUACCCCGGGGAUAACAGGCUUAUCUCCCCCAAGAGUUCACAUCGACGGGGAGGUUUGGCACCUCGAUGUCGGCUCAUCGCAUCCUGGGGCUGUAGUCGGUCCCAAGGGUUGGGCUGUUCGCCCAUUAAAGCGGUACGCGAGCUGGGUUCAGAACGUCGUGAGACAGUUCGGUCCCUAUCCGUCGUGGGCGUAGGAAAUUUGAGAGGAGCUGUCCUUAGUACGAGAGGACCGGGAUGGACAUACCUCUGGUGUACCAGUUGUCGUGCCAACGGCAUAGCUGGGUAGCUAUGUGUGGACGGGAUAAGUGCUGAAAG
RNAcentral lists this ribosomal RNA (2493 nucleotides) under Staphylococcus aureus. RNAcentral's name for it is "partial 23S ribosomal RNA". It matches the Rfam family "Bacterial large subunit ribosomal RNA", at positions 286 to 2777 of the family's 2925-position model. Lineage: Bacteria; Bacillati; Bacillota; Bacilli; Caryophanales; Staphylococcaceae. The record is from RNAcentral.